Molecule: non-coding RNA, 164 nt
Filed under: Proteiniborus sp. DW1
Lineage: Bacteria; Bacillati; Bacillota; Clostridia; Eubacteriales
Also listed under: 1 other name
Description: Lysine riboswitch aptamer
Rfam family: Lysine riboswitch aptamer
About the family: Riboswitches are metabolite binding domains within certain messenger RNAs that serve as precision sensors for their corresponding targets. Allosteric rearrangement of mRNA structure is mediated by ligand binding, and this results in modulation of gene expression.
Source: Rfam by way of RNAcentral
AUGUGAUUAAGAGGCCGCGAUUUGUUAAUAGUACUACAGUAAAAUAAACUGUAGGAAAGGAACAGUCGCCGAAAUACAGGAUACCUGUAUUGGGACUAUGCUGAAUAAGUAUAGUACUGUCAUUAGAAAAUUGCCCAAUUUUCUAAUGGAGCGCUUAACACAUU